GAUGAAGAACGUAGCGAAAUGCGAUAAGUAAUGUGAAUCGCAGAAUUCAGUGAAUCAUCGAAUCUUUGAACGCACAUUGCGCCCCCCAGUAUUCUGGCGGGCAUGCCUGUUCGAGCGUCAUUUCAACCAUCAAGCCCUGCUUGUGUUGGGGUCCUGCGGCUGCCCGCAGGCCCUGAAAACCAGUGGCGGGCUCGCUAGUCACACCGAGCGCAGUAGCACAUCUCGCUCAGGGCGUGCGGCGGGCUCCAGCCGUUAAAGCACCCACCUUUCGCAAGGUUGACCUCGGAUCAGGUAGGAAUACCCGCUGAACUUAAGCAUAUCAAUAAGCGGAGGA
This 334-nucleotide unclassified non-coding RNA is filed under the name soil metagenome. RNAcentral's name for it is "partial contains 5.8S ribosomal RNA, internal transcribed spacer 2, and large subunit ribosomal RNA". The stretch from base 1 to 120 matches the Rfam family "5.8S ribosomal RNA", at positions 35 to 154 of the family's 154-position model. The record is from RNAcentral.